Molecule: long non-coding RNA, 538 nt
Organism: Solanum pennellii
Lineage: Eukaryota; Viridiplantae; Streptophyta; Magnoliopsida; Solanales; Solanaceae
Exons: 2
Source: RefSeq, a predicted model, not a curated record
UAUAAAUAAGACCCUUUUAUUCAUUACAGAAAAUAUACACUCAUUCACUCUCAAUCACAAAUUCUCUCAUCACUCUCCCUUCUCUCAUUGCUCUCUUGCUACUUUAACAAUACAUUGAGAAUCCGGUAUUUAUUCAAGUGUUCUUCUUCGCUAUUUGAUUACUUUGUUCGAGUAAAAGUUGAAUCAAUUUGUUUUGCUUAACGGAGUCAUGGCUCACCCUCAUUUUCCCAACACACAAAUGGUGGUCAAAGUUAAUCCAAUUUUGAAGAUGGUUUUGGCGAUGGAAAAGAGAGAAGAUGGGCUCGCAACCUCCUCAACACCGACUAUGACAUUAUCCCAGAAAUGAGGAAGCAGAUUGUGCCUAACAUUGGAGAGCAACAUAAUUAAAGUUUUUUUUUUCUCUUUAUUCCCCAUGUGUUAUCCCUAGCCCUUUAGUUAUCUCUAGAUUUAUGUAAUAAAUAGAAAUUAUUUCAAUAAUUGAAAGUCGUUUUAUUGUCUAACUCUAAACUCCAAAUUGGCAAAUAAGGCUUGAAUUAGU